This 799-nucleotide ribosomal RNA is filed under the name uncultured Rhizophagus. RNAcentral describes it as "SSU rRNA". It matches the Rfam family "Eukaryotic small subunit ribosomal RNA", at positions 314 to 1114 of the family's 1831-position model. The record is from RNAcentral. Lineage: Eukaryota; Fungi; Glomeromycota; Glomeromycetes; Glomerales; Glomeraceae.
AUCAACUUUCGAUGGUAGGAUAGAGGCCUACCAUGGUGGUAACGGGUAACGGGGUGUUAGGGCACGACACCGGAGAGGGAGCCUGAGAAACGGCUACCACAUCCAAGGAUGGCAGCAGGCGCGCAAAUUACCCAAUCCCGACACGGGGAGGUAGUGACAAUAAAUAACAAUACGGGGUUCUUUAGGAUCUCAUAAUUGGAAUGAGUACAAUUUAAAUCUCUUAACGAGGAACAAUUGGAGGGCAAGUCUGGUGCCAGCAGCCGCGGUAAUUCCAGCUCCAAUAGCGUAUAUUAAAGUUGUUGCAGUUAAAAAGCUCGUAGUUGAAUUUCGGGGUCAGUAGGUUGGUCGUGCCACCGGUACGUACUGGUCUCACUGAUUCCUCCUUCCUGAUGAGCUGUAAUGCCAUUAAUUUGGUGUUGCAGGGAAUCUGGACUGUUACUUUGAAAAAAUUAGAGUGUUUAAAGCAGGCUAACGCUUGAAUACAUUAGCAUGGGAUAAUGAAAUAGGACGUUCGAUCCUAUUUUGUUGGUUUCUAGGAUUGACGUAAUGAUUAAUAGGGAUAGUUGGGGGCAUUAGUAUUCAAUUGUCAGAGGUGAAAUUCUUGGAUUUAUUGAAGACUAACUACUGCGAAAGCAUUUGCCAAGGAUGUUUUCAUUAAUCAAGAACGAAAGUUAGGGGAUCGAAGACGAUCAGAUACCGUCGUAGUCUUAACCAUAAACUAUGCCGACUAGGGAUCGGAUGAUGUUAAUUUUUUAAUGACUCAUUCGGCGCCUUACGGGAAACCAAAGUGUUUGGGUUC